This 94-nucleotide ribosomal RNA is filed under the name Microcebus murinus (gray mouse lemur). The record is from RNAcentral. Lineage: Eukaryota; Metazoa; Chordata; Mammalia; Primates; Cheirogaleidae.
UCUUAUGGCCAUACCACUCUAAACAUGCCUGAUAUCACCUGAUCUUGGAAGAUAAGCAGGGUUGGCCCUAGUUAGUUUUUGGAUGGGAGAAGAG